AAAACCGUGAGUUGAUUAAACCUCUUUUCUUCAUAAAUUACCCAGUCUCAGGUAUGUCUUUAUGGCAGUGUGAGAACAGACUAAUACAGAUAUCUGUUCAUAUUUUUGUAGCUCUUUUUCUGUAAAGCUUUCUUCUCUUCAGAACUCUAGCACAAAACUUCCAACCACCUCAGCUUUAUUGAACUCCAGUAUCAAAAACUCAUCAAGACCACUGCAUACUUAUCAUGAUCUCCUUCCCUGUGUUGUAGUCUAGAAUGUUUUUCAAGAAAGACAGGACACUCAUAGGAAUCAUCUUUUUUGUUUCUCUUCUCUCAGGUAUUACAUUUAUGCACUGUCUGCUGCCAAAGAUCUGAAACCAAUGAUCUCAUAUAUAUGGUACAGUUUUCUAGUUAUUUACAGUGGGAGAGUAAAUUAUCCAUGCUCAGAAGUAGUGUGUACUAGUCUCAGUAAGUCAAUGGGUUUCCCUGGAUCCAGGCUUGGAGAAAAUGUUUUCUCUUCUCUAUCUGCAAUUCUCCUGAACCAAUUCUGACGGAUAAUAUGACUGUGUCAACCACAAAAGAGGAAAAGAAUGGGCUUUAAAUCCCGCCUUUACAGCCAUCCAAGGCAGCUCCUUCUUCAAAGGAUGGAACUUUAAGGAUGGAACCAAUUGGCUACAAAUCAUUUUAGCUGAUGCACUGAGACAAUUCUGAAGCAAACUGUCUUAUCCUGGAUUUUGUCAGUAACUGGAGUUGAAGGACUUGAAGAUUCUCAAGGAUUGAUCCAGAAUAUGUUCCAGCAAAAACUACAGCAGAGUAACUUUGACAAGAAAAAUGUUCACUUGCUACCUAAGGAGAGUCUCUGUCUCCUGACCUCUGAAUUUCGAAAUCCUCAGCUCUGGCUGCCACGCAGUGGGAACCGAAUGAGUAUGUACUGAAUGGCGAAUCCUAGUUCAGUCACUUGACUAGCUGGGUGACCUUGAGCAAGUAACUUAGCUUCUUGAAGCCUCAGUCUCCUUAUCUAUAAAAUGGGACUCAAAGGCUGAGUCGAGUAUUAAAUGAAAUAAUACACGUAAAGCACAGUGCCAAAAAUCUGGUAAUAACUCCAUCAGUAUAAGGCCACCUUAUUUGCCUUCUUUCACAAUUAUCACCAGAAUUGAAUUAAAAUUCAGAUGUGAUCAUGUCUUGAAAUGUAGAAAGAGUUAUGAAAAUGUAAGACUUACUAAGUUCACUUAUCGAACAUUUUUUGACCACCUACUAUGUGCUAUGCCUUGGACUAGGCUAGAGAUACAACAGUAAACAUCUUGACUAACGGAGAUUAUGCUGCUAUCUUGAAAUUUUGCCUGUUCCCAAAAGCCCCCAGCAUAUUAAUUUUGUUAAAUAUAUAUUCCCUUAUUAUAUAUAUAAAACAUAUAUAUCCU
Molecule: long non-coding RNA, 1396 nt
Filed under: Homo sapiens (human)
Lineage: Eukaryota; Metazoa; Chordata; Mammalia; Primates; Hominidae
Description: HSALNT0173992
Source: RNAcentral